UGGGGAAUUUUGGACAAUGGGCGAAAGCCUGAUCCAGCAAUGCCGCGUGUGUGAAGAAGGCCUUCGGGUUGUAAAGCACUUUUGUCCGGAAAGAAAUCCUUGGCUCUAAUACAGUCGGGGGAUGACGGUACCGGAAGAAUAAGCACCGGCUAACUACGUGCCAGCAGCCGCGGUAAUACGUAGGGUGCAAGCGUUAAUCGGAAUUACUGGGCGUAAAGCGUGCGCAGGCGGUUUGCUAAGACCGAUGUGAAAUCCCCGGGCUCAACCUGGGAACUGCAUUGGUGACUGGCAGGCUAGAGUAUGGCAGAGGGGGGUAGAAUUCCACGUGUAGCAGUGAAAUGCGUAGAGAUGUGGAGGAAUACCGAUGGCGAAGGCGAGCCCCCUGGGCCAAUACUGACGCUCAUGCACGAAAGCGUGGGGGAGCAAAACAGGAUUAGAUACCCCUGGUAGUCCACGCCCUAAACGAUGUCAACUAGUUGUUGGGGAUUCAUUUCCUUAGUAACGUAGCUAACGCGUGAAGUUGACCGCCUGGGGAGUACGGUCGCAAGAUUAAAACUCAAAGGAAUUGACGGGGUCAUAGCUGUUUCCU
RNAcentral lists this ribosomal RNA (589 nucleotides) under uncultured bacterium. RNAcentral's name for it is "partial 16S ribosomal RNA". It matches the Rfam family "Bacterial small subunit ribosomal RNA", at positions 355 to 1375 of the family's 1533-position model. The record is from RNAcentral.